This 467-nucleotide ribosomal RNA is filed under the name uncultured bacterium. Its description in RNAcentral is "bacterial SSU rRNA". It matches the Rfam family "Bacterial small subunit ribosomal RNA", at positions 328 to 793 of the family's 1533-position model. The record is from RNAcentral.
CUCUGUGACUCCUACGGGAGGCAGCAGUGAGGAAUAUUGGUCAAUGGAGGGAACUCUGAACCAGCCAUCCCGCGUGUAGGAAGACGGCCUUAUGGGUUGUAAACUACUUUUAUACAGGAAGAAACGUACCCUCGUGAGGGUGCCUGACGGUACUGUAGGAAUAAGCACCGGCUAACUCCGUGCCAGCAGCCGCGGUAAUACGGAGGGUGCGAGCGUUAUCCGGAUUUAUGGGUUUAAAGGGUCCGUAGGCGGAUUAAUAAGUCAGUGGUGAAAUCCCAUCGCUUAACGAUGGAACUGCCAUUGAUACUGUUAGUCUUGAAUGAGGGUGCAGUGGUUGGAAUGUGUAGUGUAGCGGUGAAAUGCAUAGAUAUUACACAGAACACCGAUUGCGAAGGCAGAUCACUAACCCUAAAUUGACGCUGAGGGACGAAAGCGUGGGGAGCGAACAGGAUUAGAUACCCUGGUAG